UACAUGCAGUCGAGCGGACAGAAGGGAGCUUGCUCCCGGAUGUUAGCGGCGGACGGGUGAGUAACACGUGGGUAACCUGCCUGUAAGACUGGGAUAACUCCGGGAAACCGGAGCUAAUACCGGAUAGUUCCUUGAACCGCAUGGUUCAAGGAUGAAAGACGGUUUCGGCUGUCACUUACAGAUGGACCCGCGGCGCAUUAGCUAGUUGGUGGGGUAAUGGCUCACCAAGGCGACGAUGCGUAGCCGACCUGAGAGGGUGAUCGGCCACACUGGGACUGAGACACGGCCCAGACUCCUACGGGAGGCAGCAGUAGGGAAUCUUCCGCAAUGGACGAAAGUCUGACGGAGCAACGCCGCGUGAGUGAUGAAGGUUUUCGGAUCGUAAAGCUCUGUUGUUAGGGAAGAACAAGUGCGAGAGUAACUGCUCGCACCUUGACGGUACCUAACCAGAAAGCCACGGCUAACUACGUGCCAGCAGCCGCGGUAAUACGUAGGUGGCAAGCGUUGUCCGGAAUUAUUGGGCGUAAAGGGCUCGCAGGCGGUUUCUUAAGUCUGAUGUGAAAGCCCCCGGCUCAACCGGGGAGGGUCAUUGGAAACUGGGAAACUUGAGUGCAGAAGAGGAGAGUGGAAUUCCACGUGUAGCGGUGAAAUGCGUAGAGAUGUGGAGGAACACCAGUGGCGAAGGCGACUCUCUGGUCUGUAACUGACGCUGAGGAGCGAAAGCGUGGGGAGCGAACAGGAUUAGAUACCCUGGUAGUCCACGCCGUAAACGAUGAGUGCUAAGGUGUUAGGGGGGUUUCCGCCCCUUAGUGCUGCAGCUAACGUCAUUAAGCACUCCGCCUGGGGGAGUACGGUCUCAUGACUGACACUCAAAGGACUUGAC
Molecule: ribosomal RNA, 883 nt
Filed under: Bacillus sp. R5
Lineage: Bacteria; Bacillati; Bacillota; Bacilli; Caryophanales; Bacillaceae
Description: bacterial SSU rRNA
Rfam family: Bacterial small subunit ribosomal RNA
Source: RNAcentral